Molecule: ribosomal RNA, 469 nt
Filed under: uncultured Psychrilyobacter sp.
Lineage: Bacteria; Fusobacteriati; Fusobacteriota; Fusobacteriia; Fusobacteriales; Fusobacteriaceae
Description: bacterial SSU rRNA
Rfam family: Bacterial small subunit ribosomal RNA
Source: RNAcentral
ACAUGCAAGUCGACUGGAAUUCUUCUUCGGAAGAUAGUACGGUGGCGGACGGGUGAGUAACGCGUAAAGAAUUUGCCCUUCAGACUGGGACAACUAAUCGAAAGGUUAGCUAAUACCGGAUAUUAUGAGACCUUGGCAUCAAGGACUUAUGAAAGCUAUAUGCGCUGGAGGAGAACUUUGCGUUCCAUUAGCUAGUUGGUAGGGUAAUGGCCUACCAAGGCAACGAUGGAUAGCCGGCCUGAGAGGGUGAACGGCCACAAGGGGACUGAGACACGGCCCUUACUCCUACGGGAGGCAGCAGUGGGGAAUAUUGGACAAUGGACCAAAAGUCUGAUCCAGCAAUUCUGUGUGCACGAUGAAGGUCUUCGGAUUGUAAAGUGCUUUCAGGUGGGAAGAAGAAAGUGACGGUACCACCAGAAGAAGCGACGGCUAAAUACGUGCCAGCAGCCGCGGUAAUACGUAUGUCGCA